CGUUCACCGAACAUUGUGUCGUCGGCAUCCGCGCCGACGAAAAGCGCAUCGACGAGUUGAUGCGGCGCUCGCUGAUGCUGGUGACGGCGCUGGCGCCGAAGAUCGGCUACGACAAUGCUGCAAAGGUCGCGAAAACUGCUCACGCGCGCGGCACGACGCUAAAGGAAGAAGCAGUGCGUCUCGGCUUCGUUUCGGAGGCAGAAUUCGAUCGGCUCGUAAAGCCCGACAAGAUGACGCACCCCGGUUAGAGCACGUUUCACUUACAUUAACUCGCUGUAACGU
Molecule: unclassified non-coding RNA, 282 nt
Filed under: Hevea brasiliensis (rubber tree)
Lineage: Eukaryota; Viridiplantae; Streptophyta; Magnoliopsida; Malpighiales; Euphorbiaceae
Source: RNAcentral